Bombus terrestris (buff-tailed bumblebee) is the source of this 860-nucleotide long non-coding RNA. RefSeq lists it as uncharacterized. NCBI's taxonomy places the organism in Eukaryota, Metazoa, Arthropoda, Insecta, Hymenoptera, Apidae. The transcript has 5 exons. The record is from RefSeq and is a predicted model, not a curated record.
GUGAUAUACGUCACAUGACGACACGAAGCAAGUUGAGCGACGCAACUUGCGUGAAGCAAACAGUCACAUUACUGCCUUUCACAGAUGUACUACAUAAUUUUGCGUUCGGAACGACUACAUUGAAUCAGCGCGGCAUUGAUGCGAUUAAUGGCAAUUACCAUCAUAAAAGUAUUUUGGAAACAACUCUCCGCCGAUACGGUCAAUUUGUAUUUACUUAACAGAAGCUAGAACGCGAACGAUUUCCACUGAUGAACUCGAGAACACAGUUAAAAGUACAAGUAUUUGCAACAUUAUGAGGUAUAGCAAAAUUAAAUAGUACACAUCCGGAGAAUUCCUCAAAAUCUGAUAUUUGUGAGCAGUAUAUUUCUUAGCGCAUACUUGACUGAUUUAUUUCCAUGUGAAUCACUUCCAACGCAUAUAUAUCCUAAAUAAGAAGCACGCAUAUAUUUAGUUGAUGCAUAUUUAUAUGUCCUUUAUUACAUAUAAAUUAUAAAUAAAACAGAUGAUAAUAAGAUAAAUGAUGAAUAAAAACAGAAUAGUUAAUUAGAAUUGAGAAUUCAAGGGAUCGCUGGCAAAGCAGCAUUUGUCUCCUUGCUUUGCCUUUGGUCGGUGUACUCUCUUACGUUUGAGGUUCAAUCCACGUUUUCUAAUAUCUGAUAGUUUUAUUGGCCAUUUGUGUGCAUGUCAAAUAGAGAAUUGUUUAGAAUAGGAUACUACUCAUCAAUUUGGAUGAUACCGAAACAUUUCAUCAAAACAAACGUUCUGGACAACUUUUUACUGCAUCUACAUACACCGGUCACUCGACAUUAGUUUUCAAGGUACAAAGAAAUUUAUGUUUAAUAUGUUUUAUUUAAUAAUUC